AAGUCGUAACAAGGUCUCCGUAGGUGAACCUGCGGAGGGAUCAUUACCGAGUGAGGGCCCCCCGGCCCCAACCUCCGAACCCCAUUUCGUCAAAACCCCUGAACCCCUGUUCGCCUUCCGGGGGACGGUCCGGCCGUCUUCGGGCGGCCGGGCCCCCGGUCGGAGCCCCCAACCCACUCUGCGUCUUUGCGUCUGAGUCUUGAAUGAUAAAUCAAUAAAA
Molecule: unclassified non-coding RNA, 220 nt
Filed under: plant metagenome
Description: partial contains small subunit ribosomal RNA and internal transcribed spacer 1
Rfam family: Eukaryotic small subunit ribosomal RNA (bases 1-46)
Source: RNAcentral